Aquila chrysaetos chrysaetos is the source of this 654-nucleotide long non-coding RNA. RefSeq lists it as uncharacterized. The transcript has 3 exons. The record is from RefSeq and is a predicted model, not a curated record. Lineage: Eukaryota; Metazoa; Chordata; Aves; Accipitriformes; Accipitridae.
UGAAUUUUAUAAAGCUGAUCGAUAUCUUGGUAAAAUAUUCAUUUUUAAACUAGCGGGCAGCGAAAUCUUUGCUUUGUGCUAAAGUCAACAGUAGCACCGUUUCAGCUCCAAUAAAUGCCGGGAUGCUUCCAGCUCCGGCAGAGCCGGGGCGCGGCGGGCCGGGCCGGCGGCCGGGGCGCAGAGGUGUUGGUGUUAACCAACCACAGAUGCUUCACGCAACAAUGACACGAGACGAGCUGGCCAGCCCAGAACAGUGGGCUGUGAUGUGUGUCCAUACACGUGCACGUAGUUCAGUUAAGCUUCGUUCUCCUCUUCCCUACUAGAAAUUGAAGCCAAUAGCUGAGAAGUGGAAGCAGCCCGUGCCACGGCUGAGCUGGGUCAUUGCUCCUCAUCACCCAGCCCCUUGCACCCAGGGGCAGAUGGCCACAGGUCCUGCCUGGCAGGGAUGCCUCCCACAAGACACCUCCGGCUCCUGGCCUUGUCCCAGCCUCCAGAAAUCUGCCUGCCUGCCUGCCUGCCUGCUGCCUCUGGCAGAGUCUGCUGGCCCAGCCCUGCAAAGGAUUUCAUAUUCCUGUAGCUGUCCUAAUCCCCCGGUGUGACUCAGCAUUGUUAAGAUGCCUGAAAGAGUAAUAAAAAGUGUUAUAAUGCCAUUAA